Molecule: ribosomal RNA, 492 nt
Filed under: uncultured bacterium
Lineage: Bacteria
Description: partial 16S ribosomal RNA
Rfam family: Bacterial small subunit ribosomal RNA
Source: RNAcentral
AGUGAACGCUGGCGGUAGGCCUAACACAUGCAAGUCGAACGGCAGCACAGUAAGAGCUUGCUCUUACGGGUGGCGAGUGGCGGAAGGGUGAGGAAUACAUCGGAAUCUACUUUUUCGGGGGGGAUAACGUAGGGAAACUUACGCUAAUACCGCAUACGACCUACGGGGGAAAGCAGGGGAUCUUCGGACCUUGCGGGAUGGAAUGAGCCGAUGUCGGAUUAGCUAGGUGGCGGGGUAAAGGCGUAGCAAGGCGACGAUGCGUAGCUGGUACGAGAGGAUGAUCAGCCACCCGGGCACUGAGAAUCAGCCCACACUCCGGCGGGAGGCAGCGGUCGAGAAUCUUGCGGGAUGGAGGAGUGCCUGAUACAGCAAUAUCGCGGGAAGGCAGAAGCAGUUCGGCCGGGUGAGUCAUGUUGUUGGGAGAGAAGUACAGCAGGUUUAUACCGCACUGUAAUGACGGUACCGAAAGAAUAAGCACCGGCUAACUUCGUG